This 591-nucleotide ribosomal RNA is filed under the name Pichia manshurica. RNAcentral's name for it is "eukaryotic LSU rRNA". It matches the Rfam family "Eukaryotic large subunit ribosomal RNA", at positions 38 to 655 of the family's 3401-position model. The record is from RNAcentral. Lineage: Eukaryota; Fungi; Ascomycota; Pichiomycetes; Pichiales; Pichiaceae.
GCAUAUCAAUAAGCGGAGGAAAAGAAACCAACAGGGAUUGCCCCAGUAGCGGCGAGUGAAGCGGCAAGAGCCCAGAUUUGAAAUCGUGUUUCGGCACGAGUUGUAGAGUGUAGGCGGGAGUCUCUGUGGAGCGCGGUGUCCAAGUCCCUUGGAACAGGGUGCCUGAGAGGGUGAGAGCCCCGUAGGGUGCUGCGCGAAGCUUUUGAGGCCCUGCUGACGAGCCGAGUUGUUUGGGAAUGCAGCUCCAAGCGGGUGGUAAAUUCCAUCUAAGGCUAAAUAUUGGCGAGAGACCGAUAGCGAACAAGUACUGUGAAGGAAAGAUGAAAAGCACUUUGAAAAGAGAGUGAAACAGCACGUGAAAUUGUUGAAAGGGAAGGGUAUUGGGCUCGACAUGGGGGGUGCGCACCGCUGUCUCUUGUAGGCGGCGCUCUGGGCGCCCUCUGGGCCAGCAUCGGUUCCUGCUGCGGGAGAAGGGGCUCCGGAAAGUGGCUCUUCGGAGUGUUAUAGCCGGGGCCAGAUGCCGCGUGUGGGGACCGAGGACUGCGGCUUCUGUCUCGGAUGCUGGCAUAACGGCGCAAUACCGCCCGUCUU